This 344-nucleotide long non-coding RNA is filed under the name Panax ginseng (ginseng). Its description in RNAcentral is "long non-coding RNA (PGIN_LNC004646)". The record is from RNAcentral. Lineage: Eukaryota; Viridiplantae; Streptophyta; Magnoliopsida; Apiales; Araliaceae.
GAAAUGUCAUUUAUGCCCUUUUUAGAUUUUUUUUGACAACUUGCAAAUCUUGCUAAGUCAAGGUUGGUGAACAACCCUAGCCUAAUCUAGCCAUAGCAUGUGACUUAUAUGACCAGCAAUCUCAGCAGCCAAAUCAGUCAUAUACAUUGCAUUGUAUCAAAUUUUAAGAUUAAAGAGAGAGAAAAUAUUACCUUAUUGCUCAUUUACUCACCAAUACUCAUUCUUGACCCUCUCUCUCUAAAAGCUUCGAAAUGUAGUGCUAGAUCAGUCACAAUAUCAAGUCCCACGUGUAUCAAGAACAAGAUCAAAGAUCAGAAUCAUGAUCAAAGCCCAAAAAGUGGUAU